RNAcentral lists this transfer RNA (76 nucleotides) under Deltaproteobacteria bacterium. RNAcentral's name for it is "tRNA-Phe". It matches the Rfam family "tRNA". Rfam says of the family: Transfer RNA (tRNA) molecules are approximately 80 nucleotides in length. Their secondary structure includes four short double-helical elements and three loops (D, anti-codon, and T loops). Lineage: Bacteria; Pseudomonadati; Myxococcota; Myxococcia. The record is from RNAcentral.
GCCCAGGUAGCUCAGUUGGUAGAGCAGCGGACUGAAAAUCCGCGUGUCGUUGGUUCAAUUCCGACCCUGGGCACAA